UGGUGGACGCGUAUUAUUGGGCUGUACAUUCCUGGGUUGAGCAUUCUCGGGCCGCGCAAUAUUGGUCCGGGGCGAUAAUACGAAGCCACUCUUUUCACAGGGCAAUAAUGUACGACCCCAUAAUUCGCGUCCAAUAAUUUGAGUCCCUUGGCUUUCAAUUAUUGGGCUGCGCAUUAUUGGUACAGGUCGAGAAAGCCCGACCCAAUAAUGUACGACCCAAUAAUAGGAAGCCAAAAACCAGAGAGAUUCUUUUUUUUAAGGGAGCUGUCAAAAUUAGUAGGGACGUUCUGACAUUAGCUCUUGACAAUUUAAAAAUAAUCGGUUUUUUCUAGUGCCAUCUUUCAGUGACAUUGACACUGACAGUAUUGUAUUGACACUUGUUGGUUUACAAAUACAAUAAAAUGAAUUCUAAUAAAAGAAACAGUAGACUCAGUAGAGGUACGAGGUACUGAAAAAAUAUUAAUUAAUGGAGAAGCCGAAGUUGGAGGAAAACAAGAAGAUUCGAGGAGAAUGGUGUGGCACUUAAUGCCGCCGGGACAGUAACCUAGCUGCAGCUCCAACUCUAGGGAAUUGGGCUGAAUGAACGCAACACGUGAUCGACAGCCCACCUGCUUCCUGCCGAGCGUCCCUACGCUACAUCUACAUGGAUUCGCUUAUUCUGCUCUACAAAACUUCUGAGCUGAUACAAGCAGCCAGAAUGAGUCUCUGCUGAGUCGCCGGCGCCGGACGUAGGGUUGCCAGAUCGAAAGGCGCUAUUAUCGGGAAAUAAUAUAAAUUUUUCGGGAUUUUGGGACUUAAGUCGGGAAAAAAAAUACAUUCAAAUUAAAGUAAUUGUGUUAAAAACAACGAUAUUUUACAUUUUUGGCACUACGUCAGCUCGCUCGCUCGACGACAGUUCGGAACUUGAAAUUGUUGUUUUAUAACGCGUAGCUGUUUUUCGGGACAAUUUACACUUUGUCGGGAAUCGGGAACACAUGCUAAAAAUCGGGAGAAUCCCGCCAAAUCCCGACCA
Cydia fagiglandana is the source of this 1012-nucleotide long non-coding RNA. RefSeq lists it as uncharacterized. The transcript is spliced from 3 exons. Lineage: Eukaryota; Metazoa; Arthropoda; Insecta; Lepidoptera; Tortricidae. The record is from RefSeq and is a predicted model, not a curated record.